GUUGAGCCCCCAGGCCACCCACCCGCCGGAGGGCGGGGCGGCCAGGAACGCCACGGAGAGGGACGACGCCGCAGCGUCGUAGGUCCAGUGCACGGACGCGCCCAGGCGGGGCAGGUCGGCGCACGCCGCGAACACCCGGUUGGCCGAGAACUUCUCCGCCCCGCAGGCGGCGGCCGCACGGCGCGGGGCCACCGCCACGGCGAGGACGAAGAGGACGAGGAGCCGCGGGAAGGACAUGGCCGGACGCCGCGGGCGUUCUUGCGCGCACUAGGCUCCAAGGAGGGGGAAGGAAUCUCGUGUGGGGAAACCGCAGAAAGGCUGCGGAUUUUUGGGUGCGGAGUUGGAGCUCGG
This 351-nucleotide long non-coding RNA is filed under the name Setaria italica (foxtail millet). RNAcentral's name for it is "long non-coding RNA (SITA_LNC004817)". Lineage: Eukaryota; Viridiplantae; Streptophyta; Magnoliopsida; Poales; Poaceae. The record is from RNAcentral.